GACGAACGCUGGCGGCGUGCUUAACACAUGCAAGUCGAACGGAAAGGCCCUGCUUUUGUGGGGUGCUCGAGUGGCGAACGGGUGAGUAACACGUGAGUAACCUGCCCUUGACUUUGGGAUAACUUCAGGAAACUGGGGCUAAUACCGGAUAGGAGCUCCUGCUGCAUGGUGGGGGUUGGAAAGUUUCGGCGGUUGGGGAUGGACUCGCGGCUUAUCAGCUUGUUGGUGGGGUAGGGGCUUACCAAGGCUUUGACGGGUAGCCGGCCUGAGAGGGUGACCGGCCACAUUGGGACUGAGAUACGGCCCAGACUCCUACGGGAGGCAGCAGUGGGGAAUAUUGCACAAUGGGCGGAAGCCUGAUGCAGCAGCGCCGCGUGCGGGAUGACGGCCUUCGGGUUGUAAACCGCUUUCGCCUGUGACGAAGCGUGAGUGACGGUAAUGGGUAAAGAAGCACCGGCUAACUACGUG
This 468-nucleotide ribosomal RNA is filed under the name uncultured bacterium. RNAcentral describes it as "partial 16S ribosomal RNA". It matches the Rfam family "Bacterial small subunit ribosomal RNA", at positions 28 to 507 of the family's 1533-position model. The record is from RNAcentral.